This 119-nucleotide transfer RNA is filed under the name Candidatus Methanophaga sp. RNAcentral's name for it is "tRNA-Arg". It matches the Rfam family "tRNA". From Rfam's summary of the family: Transfer RNA (tRNA) molecules are approximately 80 nucleotides in length. Lineage: Archaea; Methanobacteriati; Methanobacteriota; Methanomicrobia; Candidatus Methanophagales; Candidatus Methanophagaceae. The record is from RNAcentral.
GGGCGUGUGGCCUAGCUAGGAUAUGGCGGCAGCCUCCUAACAAAUUUGUCGCAUAAAUAAGUUCGAUCAAAAAAAAGGGAGAAAGCUGCAAAUCACGGGUUCAAAUCCCGUCACGCCCG